GAAACGUCCCAGGCAGAGAGACACCCAGUGGAAAGGCCCUGAGGGCCUGGGGGUGCGAGCCUUAAACUUGCUCUUUGGAGCUCUGGCCAUCUUCCACCUGGCCUACCUGGGCUCCCUGUUUGAUGUCGAUGUGGACGACACCACAGAGGAGCAGGGCUACGGCAUGGCAUACACCGUCCACAAGUGGUCAGAGCUCAGCUGGGCCAGUC
This 209-nucleotide long non-coding RNA is filed under the name Pan troglodytes (chimpanzee). RNAcentral describes it as "long non-coding RNA NONPTRT018267". The record is from RNAcentral. Lineage: Eukaryota; Metazoa; Chordata; Mammalia; Primates; Hominidae.